Carassius auratus (goldfish) is the source of this 351-nucleotide long non-coding RNA. RefSeq lists it as uncharacterized. NCBI's taxonomy places the organism in Eukaryota, Metazoa, Chordata, Actinopteri, Cypriniformes, Cyprinidae. The record is from RefSeq and is a predicted model, not a curated record. The transcript is spliced from 3 exons.
GAAGCUCCAAGAUUUCAACAUUUCUGAAGGGAGAUACCGUCUUAGAAAUACAGGUGAACUGAAGAAGCUCAUGAAAUACAUUAAUAUGCCUUUUUUAGAAUAUAUUUCACCAAUUUUAAGAAGUCCCUGACAUCAAAACAUGGCUUGUUUUGUUCCUGGACUCUUCAGUGAUGACGAUCAGAGUCUGAGUGAACCUGCUGUCAGACAGAUGGCCAUCCCAAGGUUUCUAGAGAUGACACCAGCUCCAGACUCAAUCCAAACUCACUUGUGAAGACUUCAGAUGACACCAACGCUCACAAAGACUACAGACGACGGCGACUGUACAUGAACACACAAAACCAUAAUAUUUAU